UACGUAGGGUGCGAGCGUUGUCCGGAAUUAUUGGGCGUAAAGAGCUCGUAGGCGGUCCGUCGCGUCGAUUGUGAAAACCCGGGGCUCAACUCCGGGCUUGCACUCGAUACGGGCGGACUAGAGUUCGGUAGGGGAGACUGGAAUUCCUGGUGUAGCGGUGAAAUGCGCAGAUAUCAGGAGGAACACCGAUGGCGAAGGCAGGUCUCUGGGCCACUACUGACGCUGAGAAGCGAAAGCGUGGGGAGCGAACAGG
Molecule: ribosomal RNA, 253 nt
Filed under: uncultured bacterium
Lineage: Bacteria
Description: partial 16S ribosomal RNA
Rfam family: Bacterial small subunit ribosomal RNA
Source: RNAcentral